GUUGGUUCUACCCGAAGGCGYUGCGCYAACCGCAAGGRGGCAGGCGACCACGGUAGGRUCAGCGACUGGGGUGAAGUCGUAACAAGGUAGCCGUAGGUGAACCUGCAGAAGGAUCA
RNAcentral lists this ribosomal RNA (116 nucleotides) under uncultured eukaryote. RNAcentral's name for it is "partial small subunit ribosomal RNA". The record is from RNAcentral.